GGGAAGUGUUAAUCAACCCACAGGAUGGGGGGUGCCCAUUUUGGCUUUUCGGGCAGAGGUUAUUUUUAAUGUCACCAGAACCUUCAGUGAGAUGGAACGAUAGGGAAAUGGCCGCCAGGCACCCCGAUUACAAAAAGCAAUCGGAAAGGAUAAGCUGGGGUUUACGAGGCAGCACACGCUGGUGCCACACGGGGAGGAGGUGGUCUGCUUCUAUGACAUGUGACAGGGUCAGAAUGGAAAGCGACCCCCUGAACUCGCGGGAUCUUAGAUCCACUGAUUGCGGGGGUCCUGAUUUAACGUACUGGGGGGAUGCUUGGGUGCCCCGCAAUAAAAAAGUCUAUGAGACACCCUUGACCCUGGGGAAUUACCCCUAUCCGGACAGGGAUACUCCUUAUUUCUUCAGUGAAAUUACUGAGGGAAGGAUGAGUUACCUGAACCCCCAUCUUUACCUAAUGACGAGAGCAGAAGCAAGGAAAGUUAAUUUUACUGCACUCAGACAGGUGAGAGAGUUAGGCGAUGGAAUGGAGACAAUUAACAUCGGGAGUGACUACAUCUCGUUUUACCAGAAACGUUACCAAAAACAAAACAGAAAAAACAACAUCCUUGAAAAAAACAGAUGUGGGGAUAUGUCCAAAAUUCCUGCCGUGGCUCGGUUCCUGGCAUUAGGGUGGAGCAUGAGUGAUGAUAAAGACAUAGAAGAGAAACUUAGCAUUGAGGACGGGGAGGGAAGUGAUUCUUCUUCAGGAGAUGAAAAAGCUGGAGUUGGUUCCCCCGCUAAAAGACGAGGAGAGGAUGGAGAUGAUAUGGGUCCGGAGUGGAAAAAGGAGAGAAUGACUCUGACUGAGGCCCUGUCUGUGCCACCUCCUCGUGCUGUCUCACAGUCUCCUGCGUGUAUGGAGAUGGAAUGGGAGAGAGAUGACAACACAGGAGAGAUCUUCUUUGCCGAAAGGGUGGCCAGAAUAUCCCCCUUCCCCACUGUGAUGAAAGUCGAGUCUGCUGAAGAAGUGGCUGACUGCUUUCCCCCGCUGGAAAAUGAAUCGGAUGAUGAUGGGGCGGAGCUGUUGGGUG
This 1068-nucleotide long non-coding RNA is filed under the name Gouania willdenowi (blunt-snouted clingfish). RNAcentral describes it as "lncRNA (ENSGWIG00000009568.1)". The record is from RNAcentral. Lineage: Eukaryota; Metazoa; Chordata; Actinopteri; Blenniiformes; Gobiesocidae.